GAUGAACGCUGGCGGCGUGCCUAAUACAUGCAAGUCGAGCGAACGGACGAGAAGCUUGCUUCUCUGAUGUUAGCGGCGGACGGGUGAGUAACACGUGGAUAACCUACCUAUAAGACUGGGAUAACUUCGGGAAACCGGAGCUAAUACCGGAUAAUAUUUUGAACCGCAUGGUUCAAAAGUGAGAGACGGUCUUGCUGUCACUUAUAGAUGGAUCCGCGCUGCAUUAGCUAGUUGGUAAGGUAACGGCUUACCAAGGCAACGAUGCAUAGCCGACCUGAGAGGGUGAUCGGCCACACUGGAACUGAGACACGGUCCAGACUCCUACGGGAGGCAGCAGUAGGGAAUCUUCCGCAAUGGGCGAAAGCCUGACGGAGCAACGCCGCGUGAGUGAUGAAGGUCUUCGGAUCGUAAAACUCUGUUAUUAGGGAAGAACAUAUGUGUAAGUAACUGUGCACAUCUUGACGGUACCUAAUCAGAAAGCCACGGCUAACUACGUG
This 497-nucleotide ribosomal RNA is filed under the name uncultured bacterium. Its description in RNAcentral is "partial 16S ribosomal RNA". It matches the Rfam family "Bacterial small subunit ribosomal RNA", at positions 28 to 507 of the family's 1533-position model. The record is from RNAcentral.